RNAcentral lists this ribosomal RNA (1248 nucleotides) under Candidatus Phytoplasma citri. RNAcentral's name for it is "bacterial SSU rRNA". It matches the Rfam family "Bacterial small subunit ribosomal RNA", at positions 153 to 1399 of the family's 1533-position model. Lineage: Bacteria; Bacillati; Mycoplasmatota; Mollicutes; Acholeplasmatales; Acholeplasmataceae. The record is from RNAcentral.
ACGACUGCUGCUAAGACUGGAUAGGAAGAUAAAAGGCAUCUUGUAUCUUUUAAAAGACCUAGUUAAUAGGUAUGCUUUAGGAGGGGCUUGCGCUAUAUUAGUUAGUUGGUAGGGUAAUGGCCUACCAAGACGAUGAUGUGUAGCUGGACUGAGAGGUUGAACAGCCACAUUGGGACUGAGACACGGCCCAAACUCCUACGGGAGGCAGCAGUAGGGAAUUUUCGGCAAUGGAGGAAACUCUGACCGAGCAACGCCGCGUAAAUGACGAAGUACCUCGGUAUGUAAAGUUCUUUUAUCGAGGAAGAAAAGCAAAUGGCGAACCAUUUGUUUGCCGGUACUUGAUGAAUAAGCCCCGGCUAAUUAUGUGCCAGCAGCCGCGGUAAGACAUAAGGGGCAAGUGUUAUCCGGAAUUAUUGGGCGUAAAGGGUGCGUAGGCGGUCUAGUAAGUCAGUGGUGUAAUGUCAACGCUUAACGUUGUCCGGCUAUUGAAACUGCUAAACUUGAGUUAGAUAGAGGCGAGUGGAAUUCCAUGUGUAGCGGUAAAAUGCGUAAAUAUAUGGAGGAACACCAGAGGCGUAGGCGGCUCGCUGGGUCUUAACUGACGCUGAGGCACGAAAGCGUGGGGAGCAAACAGGAUUAGAUACCCUGGUAGUCCACGCCGUAAACGAUGAGUACUAAGUGUCGGGUUAAACCGGUACUGAAGUUAACAUAUUAAGUACUCCGCCUGAGUAGUACGUACGCAAGUAUGAAACUUAAAGGAAUUGACGGGACUCCGCACAAGCGGUGGAUCAUGUUGUUUAAUUCGAAGAUACCCGAAAAACCUUACCAGGUCUUGACAUGUUUUUGCAAAAUGAUAGUAAUAUCGUGGAGGUUACCAGAAACACAGGUGGUGCAUGGUUGUCGUCAGCUCGUGUCGUGAGAUGUUAGGUUAAGUCCUAAAACGAGCGAAACCCUUAUCGUUAGUUGCCAGCACGUUAUGGUGGGGACUUUAACGAGACUGCCAAUGAUAAAUUGGAGGAAGGUGAGGAUCACGUCAAAUCAGCAUGCCCCUUAUGACCUGGGCUACAAACGUGAUGCAAUGGCUGUUACAAAGGGUAGCUGAAACGCAAGUUCUUGGCCAAUCCCCAAAAACAGUCCCAGUCCGGAUUGAAGUCUGCAACUCGACUUCAUGAAGUUGGAAUCGCUAGUAAUCGCGAAUCAGCAUGUCGCGGUGAAUACGUUCUCGGGGUUUGUACACACCGCCCGUCA